This 373-nucleotide RNase P RNA is filed under the name Pediococcus argentinicus. RNAcentral describes it as "Bacterial RNase P class B". It matches the Rfam family "Bacterial RNase P class B". Rfam says of the family: Ribonuclease P (RNase P) is a ubiquitous endoribonuclease, found in archaea, bacteria and eukarya as well as chloroplasts and mitochondria. Its best characterised activity is the generation of mature 5'-ends of tRNAs by cleaving the 5'-leader elements of precursor-tRNAs. Lineage: Bacteria; Bacillati; Bacillota; Bacilli; Lactobacillales; Lactobacillaceae. The record is from Rfam by way of RNAcentral.
AAUUUCGGGUAAUUGCGGUUAACUUUUGUUAACUGAGGAAAGUCCAUGCUCGCACAAGCUGCGACGCUUGUAGUGUUCGUGCCUGGCGAAAAAAUAAGCUGGGGUAUUUGCUUUUGCAAAUAACGGCGGGUGAAACGACUAAGGCUUCGGCUAUGUUCGAGUAACUCUGAAAAGUGCCACAGAGACGAUCUGAUUGGGAAACUAAUUAGUUGGAACGCGGUAAACCCCUCGAGCGGGCAACCCAAACUACGGUAGGGGCGCUUCACAUAUGAAAAUGAACAAAAUGUGGGGGCAGAUAUUAUCUGGAGAUAGAUGAUUACCCAAAUUUAGAUUUUCCUGAGAAUUUAUUUUGGACAAAACAUGGCUUAUAGAA